GGAGUCUGGACCGUAUCUCAGUUCCAAUGUGGCCGAUCACCCUCUCAGGUCGGCUACCCAUCGUCGACUUGGUGAGCCGUUACCUCACCAACUAUCUAAUGGGACGCGAGUCCACCUUCUGCCGGAUUUCUCCUUUGACCUCAUCGGGAUGCCCCGACGUGGUCUUAUGCGGUAUUAGCAAUCCUUUCGGACCGUUAUCCCCCUGCAAAAGACAGGUUCCUCACGCGUUACUCACCCGUCCGCCACUCGGUUAUAUCUCUUCCAGCCGAAGCCUUCCGUGACAUAACCUCGUUCGACUUGCAUGUGUUAAGCACGCCGCCAGCGUUCGUCCUCGAGCCACUGAUCAAACUCU
RNAcentral lists this ribosomal RNA (352 nucleotides) under uncultured Coriobacteriales bacterium. RNAcentral describes it as "partial 16S ribosomal RNA". Lineage: Bacteria; Bacillati; Actinomycetota; Coriobacteriia; Coriobacteriales. The record is from RNAcentral.